UACAGAGGUGGCAAGCGUUGUUCGGAAUUACUGGGCGUAAAGGGCGAGUAGGCGGCCUUCUAAGUCAGACGUGAAAUCCCCCGGCUUAACCUGGGAACUGCGUCUGAUACUGGGAGGCUUGAGUAUGGGAGAGGGAUGUAGAAUUCCAGGUGUAGCGGUGAAAUGCGUAGAUAUCUGGAGGAAUACCGGUGGCGAAGGCGGCAUCCUGGACCAUUACUGACGCUGAAUCGCGAAAGCUAGGGGAGCAAACGGG
Molecule: ribosomal RNA, 253 nt
Filed under: uncultured bacterium
Lineage: Bacteria
Description: partial 16S ribosomal RNA
Rfam family: Bacterial small subunit ribosomal RNA
Source: RNAcentral